Molecule: ribosomal RNA, 398 nt
Filed under: Hemiandrus brucei
Lineage: Eukaryota; Metazoa; Arthropoda; Insecta; Orthoptera; Anostostomatidae
Description: partial 12S ribosomal RNA
Rfam family: Microsporidia small subunit ribosomal RNA
Source: RNAcentral
UGCUUGAAACUCAAAGAAUUUGGCGGUGUUUUAAUCUAUUCAGAGGAAUCUGCCCCAUAAUCGAUAAUUCACGAAUAAUAUUACUUAAUUUUGUGGUAGCUUGUAUACCGCCGUCAUUAGAAUAUCUUUGUAGAGGUGRUUAAUUUUCUGGAAAUUUAAGUGAAUUAAAUGUCAGGUCAAGGUGCAGUUUAUAGUUAAGGGGAGGUGGAUUACAAUAUGGUUAUUUACACGGAUAUUAAAUAUAAUAUUUAGUUGAAGGUGGAUUUGAUAGUAAUAUUAUUUAAUUUAAUAAUUUGAUUAAAGCUCUAAAACAUGUACACAUCGCCCGUCGCUCUCGCUAUAAGGUGAGAUAAGUCGUAACAUAGUAGAUGUACUGGAAAGUGUAUCUAGAAAGUAAU